UGUGUAAUGAUAUGCAUUUUUUAAGUUACAUGUUCAAAAUUGUACUUAGAAAUAAGAUCGUCAUUUGUACUUCUCUGAAGAAGAAUCAAUACUGUUUUUUAUAUUUUAGUUGCCAGAUUGGGCAAACCAAGAAAUGGCAAGAAACUACUUUUUAGACUUCCAUCAUCUCAGCCUUUAUGUAAAGUACUAUAUCUUGAAUGCAAUUGGUGCUCACAAGCGUGCAUGCGAUGAAGGAAUGAACUACUGAAUCAGUGAAUUGCUGUUAGAAAAGCAUUUGUUCUGGAUAUACUUCUUGCUUUCCACUCUUGGCUGCUUUGGACGCUGAGAAGUUGACCUGUAUGAGGGGCAGCAUAAGAAAUAAGAAGCCCUGAUUUCUAGAUUUUCAUGGAGAAAAAUUUGUCUUGGUGAUAAGGCAUCUUGGUUGACAUUGGCAUAUGCGAUGAGUAAAAGGCAAUGACCAUUUUCAGUGUAGAAACUCUCAAGAGAAUAUUUCAUCCAAUAUAUAAAUUACUUUCCCAGAAGUGCUGUUACUUACAAGUUGCUGACUACUAUUGCACUGCAAGACAAGACCAUUCAAGCUUCACCAAAGGCAGCUUCGUCCCGUGCUUUUUUGCCGGGCAGGACACCUGCAAAAGAUGAUGCACGCGGGUUGUUUUGGAGCACCGCAGUGUGAUAAGAAAUGGAAUGACUGCAAGCCAGAGAGAUAAUCAGCACAGCGCACAUACCUGCUUGAGGAGGAGACCCUUUCACCUGAGGAAGUGUCACAGGACUGGGUUCCCUAGAACAUACGUCAGGGAUUUGGUUCGUGUUUGUAAGGAGCCUAAAUUAACUGAAGAAAGUAAAUAUCCACUAAGACCCUCAAGAAAGGGAAACUUUACGGCUAAGAACACAUUACACCGGUUGUAUUAGUUUGCCUGUAUGGUGCCCAGUGAACCACAAAAGGCACGUAGACAUUUCAUACAUGC
Molecule: long non-coding RNA, 965 nt
Organism: Manis pentadactyla (Chinese pangolin)
Lineage: Eukaryota; Metazoa; Chordata; Mammalia; Pholidota; Manidae
Exons: 6
Source: RefSeq, a predicted model, not a curated record